GUUUUAGUAGCAUAGUGGUUAGUGCACAGCCCGGAUAGGUGAGACGCGGGUUCGAAUCCCGCCUGAGAUG
This 70-nucleotide transfer RNA is filed under the name Nippostrongylus brasiliensis. It matches the Rfam family "tRNA". Rfam says of the family: Transfer RNA (tRNA) molecules are approximately 80 nucleotides in length. Their secondary structure includes four short double-helical elements and three loops (D, anti-codon, and T loops). The record is from Rfam by way of RNAcentral. Lineage: Eukaryota; Metazoa; Nematoda; Chromadorea; Rhabditida; Heligmosomidae.